Molecule: ribosomal RNA, 427 nt
Filed under: Streptococcus lutetiensis
Lineage: Bacteria; Bacillati; Bacillota; Bacilli; Lactobacillales; Streptococcaceae
Description: bacterial SSU rRNA
Rfam family: Bacterial small subunit ribosomal RNA
Source: RNAcentral
GGUUUAAUUCGAAGCAACGCGAAGAACCUUACCAGGUCUUGACAUCCCGAUGCUAUUCCUAGAGAUAGGAAGUUUCUUCGGAACAUCGGUAACAGGUGGUGCAUGGUUGUCGUCAGCUCGUGUCGUGAGAUGUUGGGUUAAGUCCCGCAACGAGCGCAACCCCUAUUGUUAGUUGCCAUCAUUAAGUUGGGCACUCUAGCGAGACUGCCGGUAAUAAACCGGAGGAAGGUGGGGAUGACGUCAAAUCAUCAUGCCCCUUAUGACCUGGGCUACACACGUGCUACAAUGGUUGGUACAACGAGUCGCGAGUCGGUGACGGCAAGCAAAUCUCUUAAAGCCAAUCUCAGUUCGGAUUGUAGGCUGCAACUCGCCUACAUGAAGUCGGAAUCGCUAGUAAUCGCGGAUCAGCACGCCGCGGUGAAUACGU